RNAcentral lists this transfer RNA (77 nucleotides) under Nitrososphaerota archaeon. RNAcentral describes it as "Thaumarchaeota archaeon tRNA-Asn". It matches the Rfam family "tRNA". From Rfam's summary of the family: Transfer RNA (tRNA) molecules are approximately 80 nucleotides in length. Their secondary structure includes four short double-helical elements and three loops (D, anti-codon, and T loops). The record is from RNAcentral. Lineage: Archaea; Thermoproteati; Nitrososphaerota.
GGCGCCGUAGCUCAGCGUGGUAGAGCAGCAGGCUGUUAACCUGUUGGUCGUCGGUUCGAGUCCGACCGGCGCCGCCA